CUCGGGGAUAGCCUUUCGAAAGAAAGAUUAAUACCCGAUGGCAUAAUAGAACCGCAUGGUUUGAUUAUUAAAGAAUUUCGGUUAUCGAUGGGGAUGCGUUCCAUUAGGCAGUUGGUGGGGUAACGGCCCACCAAACCUUCGAUGGAUAGGGGUUCUGAGAGGAAGGUCCCCCACAUUGGAACUGAGACACGGUCCAAACUCCUACGGGAGGCAGCAUG
Molecule: ribosomal RNA, 218 nt
Filed under: uncultured bacterium
Lineage: Bacteria
Description: partial 16S ribosomal RNA
Rfam family: Bacterial small subunit ribosomal RNA
Source: RNAcentral